CCUACGGGAGGCAGCAGUAGGGAAUAUUGGUCAAUGGGUGCAAGCCUGAACCAGCCAUGCCGCGUGCAGGAAGAAGGCCUUUGGGUUGUAAACUGCUUUUAUCGGGGGAUAGGUACCCGGUGAAUAAGCCACGGCUAACUACGUGCCAGCAGCCGCGGUAAUACGUAGGUGGCAAGCGUUGUCCGGAUUUAUUGGGUUUAAAGGGUGCGUAGGCGGCCCUGUAAGUCAGUGGUGAAAUACUCUAGCUUAACUAGAGGGGUGCCAAUGAUACUGCAGGGCUUGAGUACAGAUGAGGUAGGCGGAAUUGACGGUGUAGCGGUGAAAUGCAUAGAUAUCGUCAAGAACACCUAUAGCGAAGGCAGCUUACUGGGCUGUACUGACGCUGAGGCACGAAAGUGUGGGGAUCAAACAGGAUUAGAUACCCUUGUAGUC
Molecule: ribosomal RNA, 432 nt
Filed under: uncultured bacterium
Lineage: Bacteria
Description: partial 16S ribosomal RNA
Rfam family: Bacterial small subunit ribosomal RNA
Source: RNAcentral